Pan troglodytes (chimpanzee) is the source of this 3830-nucleotide long non-coding RNA. RefSeq lists it as uncharacterized. The record is from RefSeq and is a predicted model, not a curated record. The transcript has 4 exons. Lineage: Eukaryota; Metazoa; Chordata; Mammalia; Primates; Hominidae.
GGACUCAUUCUUCGCUCUCCUGCUACAGUGUGAAGAAGGAUGUAUUUGCUUCCCCUUCUGCCAUGUUUGUAAGUUUCCUGAGGCUUCCCCAGCCCUUCAGAACUAUGGGGUAACACAUAGAAAAGGCACGGAGAAGUUAAGUGAUUUGCCUAUGGUCACAAAGCCUGUUAGCAGCAAACCCAGAACAAGAACCUAAGAUUUAUGGCUGCCAGUUCCAGCUGUUUUUCUUUGUCAUGUAUCCUCAGCAAUCAACAUAAUCAAAAUCUGUUUGGAGACUACUGAUUUGUAUAAAGGAAGAUAACACUGAACAACCAAACAGGAAGUAAUCCAGUGAAUCUGGAACAGCGGUGGAAUUUAGAAGCAAGGCCAGAUGAGGACCCUAAGACCUAGAGAAACUAAGUCAUUUGCUCAAGAAGACAAAGGUAAUCAUUAGAAAUCAACAUGAGAUUUCAGCUCUCCUGAUCCUUAGUACAACAUGUGAAAGAAGAUAUGUUGUCUUUACUCACAGUGGAGGCAUUUUUCUAGCUGUGUUUAAUUUGGCUUCCCUAUGGAUUCAGGACCCAUAACUCUUGUUCUCACUCAUCUGCUAUGCUGCUGAUAAGGACUUUCAGGUCAACAGCUGUAACUGCUAAAUGAAGUUAAUACUCUGGAAAAAAAAAAAAAAAAAAAAAACAGAAGGAACAGAGACCAAAAGAUUGAAAGCCAUUUGGAAAUUUCUUGAGUGGUGUCUGGCAGGUCUUUUAUGAAGAUUAUCAUAAACCAGGAAAAAAAAAAAACGCCUGCUGACUGUGUUAUCUGUAGUGCCUAUUGCCUAUUUUGGCUGAUUCAUUGAUGGUGUAACAGAUAACAGAAUGAAAGGAAAUGGUUUGGUUUCUAUAAAGGAAAAAGAAUGGUUUGUAUAAGGAAACCAUUAGUUUCCUGAGAUUGCUAUACCAAAUUAUCAAAACUUGGUGUCUUAAAACAAUAGAAAUUUUUUCUCCCACAGUUCUGGAGGCCAGAAACUCAAAAUCAGUAUUUGGCGGCUGAAAUCAAGGUUGUUGGCAGCACCCUCUGGAGGCUCUCGGACAGAAUCUGUCCCUUGUGUCUAACAGAUUCUGGUGGCUGCUGGCAUUCCUUGACUUGUGGUCGUAUCAUUCCCAUCUCCUCCUCCGUAGUCAUAUCGCUUUCUCCUCUUCUCUGGCAUUUGCAUCCCUUUUAUAAGACACGUAUGACUGCAUUUAGGGCUCACCAGGAUAAUGCAGGAUAAUCUUCCUAUUUCAGGAUCCUUUGCCACAUCUUCAAAGUCCUUUUUGGCCAAUAAAGUAAUAUUCACAGGCUCCAGGUUUUAGGAUGUGGGUAGUGGUGUUGGGGUAGGGGGCAGAUUUGGGGGUGAACAACCAGCCUACUACUGGUGGGUGACUGGUUAUCCAUCAUUCUUAAGUCAGAAAUGAUGACCCAAAAUCUCUUUUUGCUUUUGCUUCACUCAUUUUGCAUUUAAUUACUAGGCUCUGCUUCUUCAGACACUUUUAUUACAGUUUAGUUUUUGCUACAUCUCUCAAAAAUGUCUUAUUAUUUUCACGGCCUGUCAUUUAGUUAUGUUUUCUUCUAAGUGUUUGGCUGUCUUGGUCAGUGCUCUAAAGGAAUUAAAAUCACUUGGUCAGGGCUCUGAAGUAAUUGGUCAGUGCUCUGAAGUAAUUAAAAUCACUGUGAAGCUGAAUGAAACAUCAGAAGAAGAAUCAAGAGACCUAUGUUUUGCUUGUUAGGAGAACUGUGUAUCCUUUAUGUCUAUUUUUGGAGUUGGUGGUAAUUUCUGGUCAAGGAAUCAAAUGUUCUUAUUCCUAACCAUAUAGUCAGAUAAGAUGGCUAAGGUGCUUUCAUAAUCACCAUUGAUUCACUGUCAGAUGGGCCCGUGCUCUGUGACAACUUUUCAAUAUUAUAGACUUUACCAAAUAAAAAGGUAUCUCCUCAUUCUGUGCACAGAAAAAGAAAAUGAUGGAUGAGUAUAUUAGCCAGAACCCUGUCGCAGAAAAAUAAGCAUGAGUGUGCCCUUUCAUGCCUCCUGAGAACUCCUGUGCUAGACAGAGCCUGUUCAAGAUGUCUUUUCUGACUUUCUGAUUCCAGUUGACAUCUAGGCAUAUAAGGCAACUUUGUGAUGGGGCCAGAGAGCACCACACAUUGUUGUGUAUGAAAUACUCUGUUCAGCAAACAAGCCGUGCAGCAACAAGACCUAGUGUGGUCAAGGAUGGUGGACUAAAAACCACUAUGAGAGCAGAGAUGUAGCCACCUCUGAGACUGGUUUUCUAAGCAGGAUGACUUGGUUCCAUCCCUACAGGCAUCGUCUGGUCCAGUUCAGCACAGAGCUAGCUGCAAGUGACAACCUAAGAGAAAAGUCAGCGAGAACAAAGAUCCAUCUCUUUGUUGACUGCCUUAAUCCCUAGAGCUGUGUUCUUCAAUUUGUAACUACUUGCUACAAUUUUUCUGCCUAACAAGCAAGUUCUAUCCUGCCUAGGAGAGAAACUUUUAGUAAAUUCAUCUUCAUUCACUACUAUUCAGCUCAAGCUUUAAAAACUUAGAUAAUGCUGUCUGAAAUACUUAACUCCUGGUCAAAUGCAGCUGCUAUUUCAUUCAGUAUAAUCAAAGAAUAGCCAAGGACUUUAGUUAAUAUUUCUUCAGAUGAUAGAGAAUAAACAAAUUGUUUUGGAUAUAUCUACCAUGCCCUCCAAACAUGAUUGUUGAUAUCUUUUCUAUAUAAAUUACUUUCCUACAUAAAUGGUACUUAGCUUUUCCUUGAAAGAUAUUCUCUUCUCUCCAGCUCAAAGAUAACCCUCUUUCCCUCAAAUUAUAAGUAAUUUAUAUUUAAUAAUCUUUCAUACAAAUUUUUAAAAUUACAAAUGGUAAGGUACCACUAUUUUUUAUUUUGUAACAGCACAAACCAUCAAAUCAGAAAAAAAGAAAGGUUGAGUAUGAUCUCUGAAAAAUGAAUUCUAGUAGCAUGUAUAGCAAAAAUCAUCUUAGAAUGAAUAGAAGCCCUGAAUAACUCAAUGACCACCAGGCUUGUCUGCAUCCACGUUCUACUUGGUUAACUGUUAAAUAAUAUCUAACUUGUUGCAUUGUGAAAACAACAUGUGUCUGUAAACUGAAAAAUAGAUGUUAUUAUCCACCUGGUUUAGUUAUAAUGGAGAAAUAUCCUUCAGUUGCAUGAUGCUCUUCCUAUGAAUGAGGAAACCAGAUCAACAUUUCCGUUCAAGUUCUAGCUUGCCUAUAACAUUUCUUAGCUCCUUUUGCAAACCAAAAGUGGCAGCAGUUGUAACUGAAUUAGUCUAACUGCUCAGACACAUGCAUUUCUGUUUGGUUGCUCUGGUCUCUUCUUGAAGGCCAAGUGCUGUGAUCAUUUAUCAUCAUCAGAAUUGGCUGCCAUAACUCAGUGUUCCCGGGACCUGCAGUGGGCAGAGCACCAGCACAACCCGUAGAAAGCAGCUCCAAGAUCAGCACCCUCUCAUAAACCUACCGAGCCAGGAGCAUCUUCCAGGCCCUCCACUCUCAGGAGUUUCAAGGAGAAAACAAAAUGCUGAGGACUGGGAAUGAGAAGCUUCAACCUUGCACAAUCUCUACAUUUUGCUUUACUCCCAAGAGGGACGAAUGAAGAAUGUUGUUAUUGAUGCUACGACCACUUCUCUCCCAUAUUGUGCCCAGUAAACAUGGUCUUACUCAUUAUUGAAAUACUAGCAUUCUUCUAUAAUGGUUCGUACAUAGCUGCUGCCCAGAGCACUGAAUAACACAUACUACCAGGUGUCAAACCCAGAUUUCCCCAGUCUCUCCUUAAUUUCCAGCAAUAAAAAGAUUAGCCUGGC